This 774-nucleotide ribosomal RNA is filed under the name uncultured Neocallimastigales. RNAcentral describes it as "partial large subunit ribosomal RNA". It matches the Rfam family "Eukaryotic large subunit ribosomal RNA", at positions 26 to 641 of the family's 3401-position model. Lineage: Eukaryota; Fungi; Neocallimastigomycota; Neocallimastigomycetes; Neocallimastigales. The record is from RNAcentral.
CGUCUAUAUACGUAUAGCAUAUCAAUAAGCGGAGGAAAAGAAACUAACAAGGAUUCCCUUAGUAACGGCGAGUGAAGCGGGAAGAGCUCAAAUUUGAAAUCUUCAAGGUUCUACCUUGACGAAUUGUAGUUUAUAGAAGUGUUUUCUGUUAGUGGAGUGGCAAAAGUUCUUUGGAAUAGGACAUCAUAGAGGGUGAGAAUCCCGUAUUUGGUCAUUCCUCCUAGCGUUGUGAUACACUUUCAACGAGUCGGAUUGUUUGGGAAUGCAGUCCAAAAUGGGUGGUAAAUUUCAUCUAAAGCUAAAUAUUGGCGAGAGACCGAUAGCGAACAAGUACCGUGAGGGAAAGAUGAAAAGAACUUUGAAAAGAGAGUUAAACAGUACGUGAAAUUGUCAAAAGGGAAGCGUUUGACACCAGUGUUGUUUAGUUGAAAAUCAAUUCAAUAGUUUUUGAUUCUAAGUAGUAUUGACUUCAUCAGCUUGCUGCUUUCUUCUCAGAAAUUAUUGAAUGCACUUUUCAGUUAACAAGUCAACAUCAAUUUCUUUUGUUGUAAAAGGGUAUGAGGAAGGUGGCUUUCUUUUCGGAGAAAGUGUUUAUAGCCUUGUGCCUCUACAAUCGGAGAGAUUGAGGUCUGCAGCGUAGAUCCUUCGGGGUUAGAUACGUUUGUGCUAAGUUAUAGCUUUUCAUAGACAACUUGUUGACUAUGUUUAGUCUUGUAGCUUACUCGCUGACGCUAUUUUACCUACGCUUAGGAUGUUGAUAGUCACAGCGUGUAC